CCCAACGACCUGGAACAUCGACGCUUAAGCUUUGGUAUGAGAUAUAUGGGAUUUUGUCAAGCCGGUCUUCCAAAGCAGGCGACUUGGGAUGAUUAUCGGAUGUCAUUCAAUUACUUUUAGAUGAUGCCCAUCAUCUUUUUGUGCAUUUCAUGUUGGCAACCUUGCUAUUGUGCUUGCUGGUUGAUGAUAGUGUCCGUGCAAUGAUAUAAGCUUGCUAAAGGAAACCAAUAUAAGGUGGGAGCAUGGAGUGUAUAGCCUUGCUUGUUUCUGCGACGGCCUGAUAAGCCGAUCGUGGGUAUCAGACCCCCUGGGAGUGGAUGCAGGACACUGGAUUUGCCAGUCAGAUGAAGCACAUUUCAUCAACUCCCUUCUGUGAUGCCUCGGACGAAUUAGAAGUACAACUGGCUGAAGAAAUACAGGAGUACGUUAACACCAAAUAUCCUUCGGUGCACAACAUUCAGGAGAAGAAAAUGCUCGAACGUUGCAGUCAGAAGUUUUGGCAAACAAUUCUAAAAAAAACUCCAUACCAACUGUGAAAACUUACACCGAGGAUGUCCACAGCUCAAACUACACCAACAGUACCUCCAGUGAUAUAAGUCAUUCCAGAGCUACAAAAUUGCCAUCUACUUCAAACAUCCAGCUGUCUUCUGCUGCAACAAAUACUUGUGUACCACAGUUUACAAAAGAAUUGAAACCAGAGAUAGACUCAUUCUUAUCUUCCUUCGAUUUCUUGGAUUUUCCUAUGCCUGCUAAAUAUCCUCCAAGUUAUGAUUUGGAAAUCAGCAAUUUACAGAUCGAUUUGUUCAUCCACAAAUUCUCUCAAUGCUUAAAUCUGGACAUCUCAGCAAACAAUAAGCUUCUUUUCACUAUCGGCUCACCAAGUUCUCAGGUGUUAGAAUGACAAGAGGUUUUCAACAAAGACCAAACCAACAAAAUUUACAGCGAUAAUCAGACUACACCUUCGCAAGGUACCCAAUUUUUUUUGGCCAUUUCACUAUUAUUUGUUUAGUCCACAAACCUUCUUUUUAUCUAAGUACAUUUUCAUAUGCAUCUUUGUAUAGUCUUUCAUGGAUGUAAUCCCUUUCUCUGUUUUCAAUAAAAUUGUAGUCCUAUUUGAAUCCAUGAAAAGGGACCCAGCGUGGAAGGAGUUGCAUGCUUCAGACCGCCUUAAUUUCAUACAGGAAAAGGUUAAAAAUGAAGCUUGCCCAUACCAGCUAUUAAGUUUGGGCAAUGCAUACAAUAAAAUGGGGCUUUAUUUGACCCAACUUUGGAGGCUUAAGGACGUGCGUGGAGGGGGACGAAACGUCCGCUUUAGCUGAUCGUUCCCACGGACGAUCAGUUCGCUGGGGAAUCAUAUUUCGCGCAUAAGUCGGUAUAUAGCUACCAGUUUCCGCGUAGUUCGCCGGGGAACCCCCCCCCCCCUUACGCGUAGUCCUCUUCUGU
Molecule: long non-coding RNA, 1443 nt
Organism: Triticum dicoccoides
Lineage: Eukaryota; Viridiplantae; Streptophyta; Magnoliopsida; Poales; Poaceae
Exons: 4
Source: RefSeq, a predicted model, not a curated record